ACCCUAAGACGUACACAAAAUACCACAGUAAAGAGAAGUUGUUCCAUAAUGUGUGCUAUAAUGAUGGUGGUGGUGGUAGUGGUGGUAGUAGUGGUAGUAGUAAUGGUAGUGUUAGUGUUAGUGGUAGUGGUAGUGGUAGUAGUACACUGUUAGAUGUCGCUGUAGAUUUAGCAGCACUGUACUGUAAAAAUCCACAGUACUAUACUGUAUGUGUACAUUACAGUAAAGUACUGCAGUUCAUAGUGCAUUCUGGGUAAAUUUGUUUGAGCGGGAAAAUUUUACAGUAUAUUUUGGUCUUGAUGUAACCUUGCUGUAGCCAUUGCUGUAAUGUGCCAGGUGUACUUGCAAUAAUCAGAGAAAGUGCGCACGAGUCAAAUCACACAGAGGGAGAGAGAGCACAACUCCUGGCUGCAGCUGAAGAAGGAGGACGAUUGAUUUCUGUCAGUUCGCUCUAACGUUACAGUUUGCUCCACUUUGCUCUGUGGUUUAUAUGUUUUCUUCUUACCAUUGCUUGUAAGCUGGAUUGAGUAAGAUAGAUCAUCUUUAAAGGAACCAGG
Paramisgurnus dabryanus is the source of this 557-nucleotide long non-coding RNA. RefSeq lists it as uncharacterized. The record is from RefSeq and is a predicted model, not a curated record. Lineage: Eukaryota; Metazoa; Chordata; Actinopteri; Cypriniformes; Cobitidae.